RNAcentral lists this ribosomal RNA (253 nucleotides) under uncultured prokaryote. RNAcentral's name for it is "partial 16S ribosomal RNA". It matches the Rfam family "Bacterial small subunit ribosomal RNA", at positions 524 to 776 of the family's 1533-position model. The record is from RNAcentral.
UACGAAGGGGGCUAGCGUUGUUCGGAAUUAUUGGGCGUAAAGGGCGCGUAGGCGGUUUGUUAAGUCAGCUGUGAAAGCCCGGGGCUCAACCCCGGAGGGUCGACUGAUACUGUGCGACUAGAGUGCGGAAGGGGCAACUGGAAUUCUCGGUGUAGCGGUGAAAUGCGUAGAUAUCGAGAGGAACACCUGCGGCGAAGGCGGGUUGCUGGGCCGACACUGACGCUGAUGCGCGAAAGCCAGGGGAGCGAACGGG